RNAcentral lists this ribosomal RNA (772 nucleotides) under uncultured Neocallimastigales. Its description in RNAcentral is "partial large subunit ribosomal RNA". It matches the Rfam family "Eukaryotic large subunit ribosomal RNA", at positions 26 to 645 of the family's 3401-position model. Lineage: Eukaryota; Fungi; Neocallimastigomycota; Neocallimastigomycetes; Neocallimastigales. The record is from RNAcentral.
CGCAUCUGUGCAUGCAGCAUAUCAAUAAGCGGAGGAAAAGAAACUAACAAGGAUUCCCUCAGUAACGGCGAGUGAAGCGGGAAGAGCUCAAAUUUGAAAUCUUGAAAGGUCACCUUUCACGAAUUGUAGUUUAAAGAAGUGUUUUCUGUUACGAUCGUAAUAUAAGUUCUUUGGAAUAGGACAUCACAGAGGGUGAGGAUCCCGUCUAUGAUUGCGAUUUGUAGCUUUGUGAUACACUUUCAAAGAGUCGGGUUGUUUGGGAAUGCAGCCCAAAAUGGGUAGGUAAAUUUCAUCUAAGGCUAAAUAUUGGCGAGAGACCGAUAGCGAACAAGUACCGUGAGGGAAAGAUGAAAAGAACUUUGAAAAGAGAGUUAAAUAGUACGUGAAAUUGUCAAAAGGGAAGCGUUUAACACCAGUGUUGUUUUCUGAAAAUCAACCUCUGUUAGCUUUAUGCAUGUUUGUUUAGACCUAAUCAGCUAUCUUGCAUGUUCUAUUGUUUGCAGUGGUGCACUUUUCAGUUUACAGGUCAACAUCAGUUUUUUUUACCGUAAAAAAGUUAAAGAAAGGUAGCUCAUGGCUCCGGUCGUGAGUGUUAUAGUCUUUUUCCUAUGCGGUAGGAGAGACUGAGGUCUGCAGUGUAGGCUAUUUGGCUAGAUACUCAGGUGCUAUGUGAUACCAUUUCAUAAACAACUUGUUGAUUAUGUUUUGUCUAUUGCAUACUCGCUUGUACUAUCAUACCUACGCUUAGGAUGUUGAAGUCAUCGUAUCGCGC